AUGAACGCUAGCUACAGGCUUAACACAUGCAAGUCGAGGGGCAGCAGGAUUGUGCUGCACAGAUUGCUGGCGACCGGCGCACGGGUGAGUAACGCGUAUCCAACCUUCCCCAUAGUAGAGGAUAGCCCGGCGAAAGUCGGAUUAAUACUCUAUGUUGUACAACGAGGACAUCUGAAUUGUACCAAAGAUUCAUCGCUAUGGGAUGGGGAUGCGUCUGAUUGGGUAGUCGGCGGGGUAACGGCCCACCGAGCCUACGAUCAGUAGGGGUUCUGAGAGGAAGGUCCCCCACAUUGGUACUGAGACACGGACCAAACUCCUACGGGAGGCAGCAGUGAGGAAUAUUGGUCAAUGGGCGCGAGCCUGAACCAGCCAAGUAGCGUGCAGGAAUGACUGCCCUAUGGGUUGUAAACUGUCUUUUAUCAGGGAAUAAAGUGAGGCACGUGUGCCUUUUUGUAUGUACCUGAUGAAUAAGGACCGGCUAAUUCCGUGCCAGCCGCCGC
This 500-nucleotide ribosomal RNA is filed under the name uncultured bacterium. RNAcentral describes it as "bacterial SSU rRNA". It matches the Rfam family "Bacterial small subunit ribosomal RNA", at positions 29 to 518 of the family's 1533-position model. The record is from RNAcentral.